GUGCAUGUGUGUGUGUGUGUGUGUGUGCGCGCGCGUUGCGUGUGGGUAUGAGAGAGAACGUGUAUGGAAGUAUGAGAAUGUGUGUGUGUAUCUGUGAGCGUGUAUGAGCGCACGAGUGCAUGUGUGUGUGUGUGUGUGUGUAUAAGAAUAUUCACGAGGGAUUGAGUGCUUGGGUGCAAGUGUGUGGGAGUGUGUGUGCGCAUUUUAUGAGACAGUGUGUGUUUAUAUAUGUAGGUGAUGAAAAGUGUGUGCGUGGGUUUGAGAUUGUGUGUGCAUGU
Anguilla rostrata (American eel) is the source of this 278-nucleotide long non-coding RNA. RefSeq lists it as uncharacterized. The record is from RefSeq and is a predicted model, not a curated record. NCBI's taxonomy places the organism in Eukaryota, Metazoa, Chordata, Actinopteri, Anguilliformes, Anguillidae. The transcript is spliced from 2 exons.